GUCUAUUUGGGGAUAUACAUAGUCUGGCCUGCUCACUGACACAGGAUUGUUUAAGAGCCGCGGUAUUUUGACCGUGCAAAGGUAGCAUAAUCAUUAGCUUUUUGAUUGAAAGCUUGUAUGAAUGGUCGGACAAAGGAAAAGCUGUCUUUAUUGUAAAAUUAGAAAUUAACCUCUAAGUGAAAAGGCUUAGAUUUUUUAGGGGGACGAUAAGACCCUAUAAAGCUUUACAUAUAAGUAGAGUUUACUUAAUUAAAAAGUAAAAGUUUAAUCUAAUUAAUGUGUUUUGUUGGGGCGACAUAAAUAUAAUUUAUAUUAACUGUUUAUAAAUUAAUACAAUAAUAAAUGAUUUUAAUGUAGUUGAUCCUUAUUAAAGAUUAAAAGACUAAGUUACUUUAGGGAUAACAGCGUUAUUUCUUUUGAGAGCUCCUAUCGAAAAAGAAGUUUGCGACCUCGAUGUUGAAUUAAAAUAUCUAAAUAAUGCAGGAGUUAUUUAAGAAGGUCUGUUCGACCUUUAAAUUUUU
This 521-nucleotide ribosomal RNA is filed under the name Chionoecetes opilio (snow crab). RNAcentral's name for it is "partial 16S ribosomal RNA". It matches the Rfam family "Bacterial large subunit ribosomal RNA", at positions 1829 to 2597 of the family's 2925-position model. Lineage: Eukaryota; Metazoa; Arthropoda; Malacostraca; Decapoda; Majidae. The record is from RNAcentral.